Molecule: ribosomal RNA, 637 nt
Filed under: Penicillium digitatum
Lineage: Eukaryota; Fungi; Ascomycota; Eurotiomycetes; Eurotiales; Aspergillaceae
Description: partial large subunit ribosomal RNA
Rfam family: Eukaryotic large subunit ribosomal RNA
Source: RNAcentral
ACCCGCUGAAAUUUAAGCAUAUCAAUAAGCGGAGGAAAAGAAACCAACAGGGAUUGCCCCAGUAACGGCGAGUGAAGCGGCAAGAGCUCAAAUUUGAAAGCUGGCUCCUUCGGGGUCCGCAUUGUAAUUUGCAGAGGAUGCUUCGGGAGCGGUCCCCAUCUAAGUGCCCUGGAACGGGACGUCAUAGAGGGUGAGAAUCCCGUAUGGGAUGGGGUGUCCGCGCCCGUGUGAAGCUCCUUCGACGAGUCGAGUUGUUUGGGAAUGCAGCUCUAAAUGGGUGGUAAAUUUCAUCUAAAGCUAAAUAUUGGCCGGAGACCGAUAGCGCACAAGUAGAGUGAUCGAAAGAUGAAAAGCACUUUGAAAAGAGAGUUAAAAAGCACGUGAAAUUGUUGAAAGGGAAGCGCUUGCGACCAGACUCGCUCGCGGGGUUCAGCCGGCACUCGUGCCGGUGUACUUCCCCGCGGGCGGGCCAGCGUCGGUUUGGGCGGUCGGUCAAAGGCCCUCGGAAGGUAACGCCCCUCGGGGCGUCUUAUAGCCGAGGGUGCAAUGCGACCUGCCCAGACCGAGGAACGCGCUUCGGCUCGGACGCUGGCAUAAUGGUCGUAAGCGACCCGUCUUGAAACACGGACCAAGGAGA